Molecule: transfer RNA, 75 nt
Filed under: Culex quinquefasciatus (southern house mosquito)
Lineage: Eukaryota; Metazoa; Arthropoda; Insecta; Diptera; Culicidae
Description: tRNA-Thr
Rfam family: tRNA
About the family: Transfer RNA (tRNA) molecules are approximately 80 nucleotides in length. Their secondary structure includes four short double-helical elements and three loops (D, anti-codon, and T loops). Further hydrogen bonds mediate the characteristic L-shaped molecular structure. tRNAs have two regions of fundamental functional importance: the anti-codon, which is responsible for specific mRNA codon recognition, and the 3' end, to which the tRNAs corresponding amino acid is attached (by aminoacyl-tRNA synthetases). tRNAs cope with the degeneracy of the genetic code in two manners: having more than one tRNA (with a specific anti-codon) for a particular amino acid; and 'wobble' base-pairing, i.e. permitting non-standard base-pairing at the 3rd anti-codon position.
Source: RNAcentral
GAGCUACCGUGGCCGAGAGGUUACGGGUUUCGCCUUGUAAGCGGAAGGUGAUGGGUUCGAUUCCUAUCUGGCUCG